GGGAGUUUGGUCUAGUGGUAUGAUUCUCGCUUAGGGUGCGAGAGGUCGUGGAUUCAAUUCCCGCAACUCCCC
This 72-nucleotide transfer RNA is filed under the name Chlamydomonas reinhardtii. RNAcentral describes it as "tRNA-Pro (AGG) (tRNA-Pro-AGG-2-1)". It matches the Rfam family "tRNA". From Rfam's summary of the family: Transfer RNA (tRNA) molecules are approximately 80 nucleotides in length. Their secondary structure includes four short double-helical elements and three loops (D, anti-codon, and T loops). The record is from RNAcentral. RNAcentral also lists the same sequence under 1 other name. Lineage: Eukaryota; Viridiplantae; Chlorophyta; Chlorophyceae; Chlamydomonadales; Chlamydomonadaceae.